This 446-nucleotide ribosomal RNA is filed under the name uncultured Leptolinea sp. Its description in RNAcentral is "bacterial SSU rRNA". It matches the Rfam family "Bacterial small subunit ribosomal RNA", at positions 923 to 1382 of the family's 1533-position model. Lineage: Bacteria; Bacillati; Chloroflexota; Anaerolineae; Anaerolineales; Anaerolineaceae. The record is from RNAcentral.
GCACAAGCAGCGGAGCGUGUGGUUUAAUUCGAUGCUACACGAAGAACCUUACCAGGGUUUGACAUGCAAGUGGUAGGAAACCGAAAGGCGACCGACCCUUCGGGGAGCUUUGCACAGGUGCUGCAUGGCUGUCGUCAGCUCGUGUCGUGAGAUGUUCGGUUAAGUCCGCUAACGAGCGCAACCCUCGCUGUGUGUUACAAGUGUCACACGGUACUGCCGGUCUUAAGCCGGAGGAAGGUGGGAUGACGUCAAGUCAGCAUGGCCUUUAUGUCCUGGGCUACACACACGCUACAAUGGCCAACACAAUAGGUUGCUAAGCCGCGAGGUGGAGCCAAUCCUCAAAGUUGGUCUCAGUUCAGAUUGUAGGCUGCAACCCGCCUGCAUGAAGAUGGAGUUGCUAGUAACCGCAGGUCAGCUAUACUGCGGUGAAUACGUUCCCGGGGCUU